GGAGCACAGAGACCUCUGUGCUCGUAAGCCAUUUUCGAUGAUGAAAUUUUUGAAUCGACGAUCAACUCCAUUAGAUUUGAUUUACCAUAUUUAAAUUAUUUAGAAAAUAAAUUUUGUGAUUUUUCGAUAUUAUUUACCUAACGAUCAAAAGAGUUCAAAAUCACUGGCUAAAAAUAAAAAUCUCACAAAAAUAGUGAUAUAACUAAAAUUUUAGAUCAAAGAUAUUAAUCUUGCAGUAAAUAGUAUAAAAAAAUUUUCUAUCAAAAUUUCAUCUAAUUUAAAUACUUCUACACCGUUAAACUUACAAAUGAUAUAUAUCAAUUAUUAAAAAUUAUUAUUUUUAAACCCUUUAGAUAAGUAGGAUAAUGAUAUCGAAAAAUUACAAAUUUUUUUUCUU
This 397-nucleotide long non-coding RNA is filed under the name Ananas comosus (pineapple). Its description in RNAcentral is "long non-coding RNA (ACOM_LNC022767)". Lineage: Eukaryota; Viridiplantae; Streptophyta; Magnoliopsida; Poales; Bromeliaceae. The record is from RNAcentral.